This 685-nucleotide long non-coding RNA is filed under the name Fukomys damarensis (Damara mole-rat). RNAcentral's name for it is "lncRNA (ENSFDAG00000031952.1)". Lineage: Eukaryota; Metazoa; Chordata; Mammalia; Rodentia; Bathyergidae. The record is from RNAcentral.
CUCCACCCCUCCAAGCCUCUGCCAGUGCCUGGUGCAGUUCUGAGAGGGGCACAGACAGUGCCUGGGCCUAGCUCCCUCCCCACCCAGCCUCUAAAGCACCCUAGGGUUUUUGGCACAUGGACAAGGGCUGGGGAGGUCCCGAGGCUCUGCACCUCUGCCAAGCUCCCUGGAGGCCUCUGAGCCACACUGGGCCUCAGGCCCACAGUGCUCUGUCCAAGUAUUGCAGACAGUGCGUGCUGCGGGGGUUGUUUGUUUCGAAGCUAUCACCUUGGAACUGGAUCUACAGCCUCAUUGCCUCGCCGGGUCGCCGGGCUGACCCCUUCAUGGACUGGGCAGAUCAGGAUCAAAGUAUAAGCUCCAGCAAAAUCUGAAUUUCAAGAUAAACAGCGGAAGCUUCUUUUUAGCCUAAGUAUGUGCAACGCAGUCUGGGACAGAGCCAAAAACAAUAGGUUUAUCUGAAAUUUAAAGUUGGCCUUGCUGUCCUUGGCAGUCUACUCCGCACUCCACGCCUGGCUACCAGCCCCACGGGCUCUGCUGUCCCCUCCUUCCACCCCCCGACCCCAGAUGGUCACUCCACUGGAGCAGGGCCCCUGAGCCCCUGGUCCCACGCUGGGCUGUGGCCAGGCUUCCCAGUGGCCUCUAUCAGAGGGGAGCAGCCUGUGAGUCCCAUCACCCUGUGCCCCAG